Molecule: long non-coding RNA, 1185 nt
Organism: Numida meleagris (helmeted guineafowl)
Lineage: Eukaryota; Metazoa; Chordata; Aves; Galliformes; Numididae
Exons: 5
Source: RefSeq, a predicted model, not a curated record
AGGUGUGGCUAACCCCGGGGAACUCAGGCACAAGCAUCGCACCUGAGUGACCAGAAGGGGUGGAGCUUCAAUCCACCCCUCUUCUCUCUCAUUUAAGGGUUAGCAGCUGAGAGAGCUUUAUCUCUCUGGGAGGACUGCUCUCCUUUUGAGUUGUUGCUGGUUAUUGGAAGGGUGAAACUGUUCCUACAACAACAGUAUAACAGGUUGAAAUAGGUCACAGGCAGCCCUCCUUACAUUGCUCAAGAACAUUAGAAGGAUUAAUCAUUUAUGGAUUAUCUCCUAGAAACAAUGAUCUGGUGCAGACAGGAAGACGCUGUCUGCCUGCCAGCUUGAAACAUGUAAAUUGCUGGAAUUUGCAUCAAAAAUGUGACAGCUCCUCUCUGACAAAGAUUCAGAAAAAUUCCAAUCAGCUCCGUUUUCAUGAUGGGCUUGUCAUCUGAAUAAUUCAUGACUGGUUUUGUCUAGGAGAAAAUCCACUGGUGAGUGCAAGGAGGUGUGUGUUACAGCAGCAUUUGAAGUGUGUCAGCUCUUUAUCUCUUUGCCGAACACCUUGGAAUCCAGAAGCCCAAGCUCCUUUCUCUUUCCUGCAGGGUAGAGACAGAUGCUUUUUUGAAAAGAGAGGCUGUGUGCCACAGUCGUUCUUCUCAGCAAUUCAAAAAACACAAAUGCUGUUACUCUGCAGAUGAUUUGCUGUUUAUAAUGCAGUGUACAGUUGAUAUAAUGUACAGCUGGACAAAUUGUGCAAAUGAAAGGUCAGUUGAUUCAGUGGUUAGAUCCAACUCGGUUCUUCUAGGAGCACCAAUCCUUGCAGCAUAACUGAGGUAUGUUAGUGUGAAAAGGUAAGCACAGGUAUUUCCUUAAUGUCUUAAUGAGUAAUGCCAAUGGUCGGUUUUAAUGCUGGGAUAACGCUAACUGGUUCCUGUAAAACUGACCUGUCAGUGCUAAAAUGUUAUUCUGCACAGCAUUGUAGUUCCUCUGUUGCAGUUCAGUCUUUCUGCAGGAAAAAUAAGGAUUAACUCCAUAGCUCUGCAUGCUGAGUAAUUUUAUAUGGUGCAGAAGACAAAUUUGAAGAGCCACUUUUGCAAAGUAGUGAGCAAACAACUGAAAAAUAAAACUGGGAAGCUAGCUUGGUAACUCUAGUUUAAAUAUAUAUUAUUGUAAUUCCUGCUAUGGGACAUAGAAGAA